Long non-coding RNA from Ictalurus punctatus (channel catfish), 2862 nucleotides. NCBI's taxonomy places the organism in Eukaryota, Metazoa, Chordata, Actinopteri, Siluriformes, Ictaluridae. The record is from Ensembl.
CCGGUGUUGUCACACGUCGAUUAACUGGUGGAAAAAUUCACAUCCACAGUCACUUCCCUAGUUGGCACCCCACCCAGGGUGUAGGAUAAGCGGCAUGGAAAAUGGAUGGAUGGAUGGAUGGUUGGGAAAUGUCAGACCAAUCUCUAAUUUCUCAGUGAAGUGUGCCCUUAACAAAAAAACUCAGAAGAAAGGACUUGUGUGCAGAGGGCUGCUAUUGCUGUACUUCGUUGGCGACUCAGAAAGUGGAGUGAAUUAUUGGCAGAGAUUAACUAAAAUUGCACUGGCCAAAUGAAUGUGACUGAUGAUCCACUCAUCACUCAACAAAAACAUUCCUGCUAUACUAAAAAAUAAAAGCCCUGCACAAAUCUACAUGUGCUAAAUCUUCAAGUGAGGCAUCAUCUCAAUCCAUCUCGAUUUUGCAUUACAUUUUAUACAGUGUCACAUGUCUGCAACUUGUUUUGAGCACUGCAGUCAGCAGUUAAUCUAGCCAAUUAUCCUGAGAAUAAGUGUGAUGGGAGCUUUCAUAAUCAUGUGAUUCUACCACUAGGGGUUUCUGCAUAAGCACAGUCAGGGUAGUUUGCACAUCCUCACACACAAGACGAGCUUGAUGAAUCACAUUCUUUGAAUAGAAACGUGUUUGCACAAUUGAUAAAUAAGACCCCAGGGCAGUUUUAUAAAGAAAGAGUUUGCUGUUUGCUAUGAGUUUGCGACAAGCGUUGUUGCACAUGCAGGUUAGCUAGCAGUUAGUCGGGUUUUUUUUGGACAAGCAGUGUUCGUGUGCAAAAGACAAUGAGGCAUUCAGCAAUAGCGCUAUGUAUUAGUUUUGGCAUCCUUACCAUAGCCUGCAAUUCAACUCUUAGUUCACAGGCAGGAGGUCACACAUCUGUAACAAUUUAACAAUGCCACGUCAUGCUCAGGACACCCAAUUAAUUCAUCAAUUACUCAUGAAUUACUUGUCAAGCAAGACCUUCUGAUGGCAUUGGCUCAUCAGAAAAAGUAAUUAACCCCAGCGCUGUAUGACUCACAGAGUGGUCAUGAUUAAUUGAUUGAAAAAGAUUUCCCCCAUUUCGGUGAAAGAGCACUUUAUUAGAGAUGAAAAGAUGGAGUGAUAAGCCUGUAGAAGUGGCCUGAGGGGUGCAGCUGUAGAUUGCAGUGCUCGUGCUCAUGCAGAUGGAUAGCGAAGGAGCCGUGUGGUGAAACCGCAGAAUGGGGUGCUGUUCAAACCAGAGUGGAGGGGGAAGGGCAUGGCUGGCAAGUGCUGAACUUUCCAUUACCACGGAACAGCUUUGAUUCCAGAAGCGCAUGCUUUUUUGCUGUCCCAAACACUUUUUUUUGUUUGUUUUUACUCAAACUAAAACACUGCACAUAUCAUGUGUCCAUUAUUCAGGAACUGCUCAGAUUUAGGCUUAAAGAUGCAUACAUUAAUUGAUAGUAUGAAAUAAUUCACUCAUAUUUACACCUGCACACUUUAGAAUGGAUGUGCCUUGGACAAAGAAUCCCACAGUAACCACCCAAACAAGAUGAGUGAUUAAAUGAGAAUAAUGUUCCACGCAUGCUAGAAAAUUCUCCAGUGCCUGGUUUAUCAAGCUCACAGCAAUCCAUAUGUUUCCUGUAACAGCUAGCCAAAUCAGAUAAACUCUCUUUCAUUAAUGUCAUGUAUGCUUUUAGAACUGGUUGCAGUACUGCACACCAGCUAUCUAUCAAACAGAUAAAUAAAUAGAAGGGCUAAAAAAAAGGAGCAGUCAGACCUCAGCUGAGACAAAUUUGCAUUUGAGCAAUCUUGGGAGAGUGUUUUGUUUUUUGACUGUGUUGUGAAAACUCUCCAACUUUGCAUUUUCUUUCAUGUAAUUCUUUCUAUUGUGAUUUUACCACAAAACUAAAGAUGUAAUUCAGCGCUUGAACAUGUACCUUUGUCUGAAACGGCAUGGCGUAAGAACCAUUUGCAACCAAAAUGUAUUGUUUUCUGUAUAGAGAUAUUUUAUGAAACAGGAGUUAGAUAAUCAGUGGAAUGGCAAUGAAGUACGAGUAAGAUGAAAAAUGAUCAAAAGUGAAUGAUACAUGAUAGUGAUGGUGAUGUUAAUGAGUUGCAAGCUAAUGGCAGAACCAGCGUUCUAGUUACUACCUUGCCCAGGAUAAGAUCCUCAACCUGUGGAAGUAUGUGGACAGUCAGUAAGAUGUUGUAACUGUGAUCGCAGUCAAAAGUACAGAGAGCUUUUUCUCUGCAACAUUUGAAAGCUUCCACCUUUAUAUAAUGAUGUAGGGAAAGAUUGAGGGCAGAAGUUGGUUUGGCUUGUGCUUUAAAUAACGAUUCAUUAAUGAGGUCGAUGAUUUGCUUCAACAUACUGAAGCUCAACAUCCCCAAUUUCCAAAUGUAUUAUGCCCUGAUUUGCUCAUGUACUCCAUAUUUAUGUUUUGUUCCUAUGAGAAAAGAAGAAGAACGUCUAACUGACUUUUUUUUAUUAUUAUUAUAACAGCAGUUUACUUCCUGAAUUCAUUUUGCCAGCAAGACCUUUAAAGCAUCUGAUUAUUUGCCGUUCAUCCAAAAAUGACCACAGGUCAGACUUCCUAUACUUUGUACACACCAUUUGAUAUUUGUAUGCAUUGUAGGUGAAUUAGUUGUGCUUUGCUGUACUGGCUAAAUCUGUCAUUAAGAUUAUUGUGAGGCUACCCAAGAAGUAUUGUGUAGGGCGGCAACUAACAAAUCGGCCAGUCAGUUUUUCUUAAUCAAUCAAUUAAUCGGAUGAAAGAAACGCAAACUUUCUAUAGCAUUUUUAGUAAAUUUAAAAUAAAAUCCUCAAAUUAAAUGUUACAAAUAUGAACUCCAGACUAAAAUGUUAGAUCAACACAACAGUUUGUUCAAUU